This 305-nucleotide unclassified non-coding RNA is filed under the name plant metagenome. RNAcentral's name for it is "partial contains 5.8S ribosomal RNA, internal transcribed spacer 2, and large subunit ribosomal RNA". The stretch from base 1 to 105 matches the Rfam family "5.8S ribosomal RNA", at positions 50 to 154 of the family's 154-position model. The record is from RNAcentral.
GAAAUGCGAUAAGUAGUGUGAAUUGCAGAAUUCAGUGAAUCAUCGAAUCUUUGAACGCACAUUGCGCCCUUUGGUAUUCCUUAGGGCAUGCCUGUUCGAGCGUCAUUUGUAACCUCAAGCUCAGCUUGGUGUUGGGUGUCUGUCCCCGCCCCGCGCGGGGACUCGCCUCAAAAACAUUGGCGGCCGGUACGUUGGCUUCGAGCGCAGCAGAAACGCGAACUCGAGGCCCGACGGAUCGGCGACCAGAAGUCACUUCUUCCACAGCUUGACCCCGGAUCAGGUAGGGAUACCCGCUGAACUUAAGC